CGCGGGGGCAACCCUGGCGACGAGUGGCGGACGGGUGAGUAAUACGUAGGAAUCUGCCCAUUUGUGGGGGAUAACCCGGCGAAAGCCGGGCUAAUACCGCAUACGCUCUACGGAGGAAAGCCGGGGACCGCAAGGCCUGGCACUGACGGAUGAGCCCAAGCCGGAUUAGCUAGUUGGCGGGGUAACGGCCCACCAAGGCGACGAUCCGUAGCUGGUCUGAGAGGACGAUCAGCCACACCGGAACUGAGACACGGUCCGGACUCCUACGGGAGGCAGCAGUGGGGAAUAUUGGACAAUGGGGGAAACCCUGAUCCAGCGACGCCGCGUGGGUGAAGAAGGCCUGCGGG
RNAcentral lists this ribosomal RNA (347 nucleotides) under uncultured bacterium. RNAcentral describes it as "bacterial SSU rRNA". It matches the Rfam family "Bacterial small subunit ribosomal RNA", at positions 72 to 422 of the family's 1533-position model. The record is from RNAcentral.